RNAcentral lists this ribosomal RNA (497 nucleotides) under uncultured bacterium. RNAcentral describes it as "partial 16S ribosomal RNA". It matches the Rfam family "Bacterial small subunit ribosomal RNA", at positions 28 to 507 of the family's 1533-position model. The record is from RNAcentral.
GACGAACGCUGGCGGCGUGCCUAAUACAUGCAAGUAGAACGCUGAAGAGAGGAGCUUGCUCUUCUUGGAUGAGUUGCGAACGGGUGAGUAACGCGUAGGUAACCUGCCUUGUAGCGGGGGAUAACUAUUGGAAACGAUAGCUAAUACCGCAUAACAAUGGAUGACACAUGUCAUUUAUUUGAAAGGGGCAAUUGCUCCACUACAAGAUGGACCUGCGUUGUAUUAGCUAGUAGGUGAGGUAAUGGCUCACCUAGGCGACGAUACAUAGCCGACCUGAGAGGGUGAACGGCCACACUGGGACUGAGACACGGCCCAGACUCCUACGGGAGGCAGCAGUAGGGAAUCUUCCGCAAUGGGGGCAACACUGACCGAGCAACGCCGCGUGAGUGAAGAAGGUUUUCGGCUCGUAAAGCUCUGUUGUAAGUCAAGAACGGGUGUGAGAGUGGAAAGUUCACACUGUGACGGUAGCUUACCAGAAAGGGACGGCUAACUACGUG